Molecule: ribosomal RNA, 306 nt
Filed under: Triticum aestivum (bread wheat)
Lineage: Eukaryota; Viridiplantae; Streptophyta; Magnoliopsida; Poales; Poaceae
Description: partial small subunit ribosomal RNA
Source: RNAcentral
AUGGGUGGCGCAAGCGUGGCCGUGAGCUUGGUCUCAGGCAAGGGAGGCAGCCUCGUCUUCUCUCCCCCGUCGGUCUCAGGCGUGGCCGCUGCCCUGCCCGUCGCUGGCCAUGGCUCCACCGCCCGUCGCCGGCCGUGGUUACUGAAGAAGGUCUGGCGCCAUGGACAGCCUUGUCUUCGACCGGAGACUUGCCAGGUUCUCCUCCAGCGGACGGCUUCCAUGGAUGAGCUGGACGCUCGCUAUCGCGGUCACGUGCUGCUCCCGACGGCUGUGACGCCCUUCCGCUUUUGGCGGCCAUGGAGAUAA